GGGCGCUUAGCUCAGCGGUAGAGCAGAUGUCUUAUACACAUCGGGUCGUAGGUUCAAAUCCUACAGCGCCCACCA
RNAcentral lists this transfer RNA (75 nucleotides) under Parcubacteria group bacterium ADurb.Bin192. Its description in RNAcentral is "tRNA-Ile". It matches the Rfam family "tRNA". From Rfam's summary of the family: Transfer RNA (tRNA) molecules are approximately 80 nucleotides in length. The record is from RNAcentral. RNAcentral also lists the same sequence under 3 other names.